RNAcentral lists this ribosomal RNA (460 nucleotides) under uncultured bacterium. RNAcentral's name for it is "partial 16S ribosomal RNA". It matches the Rfam family "Bacterial small subunit ribosomal RNA", at positions 338 to 795 of the family's 1533-position model. The record is from RNAcentral.
CCUACGGUGUGCAGCAGUGAGGAAUAUUGGUCAAUGGGCGCGAGCCUGAACCAGCCAAGUAGCGUGAAGGAUGACUGCCCUACGGGUUGUAAACUUCUUUUAUAAAGGAAUAAAGUGAGGCACGUGUGCCAUUUUGUAUGUACUUUAUGAAUAAGGAUAGGCUAACUCCGUGCCAGCAGCCGCGGUAAUACGGAGGAUCCGAGCGUUAUCCGGAUUUCUUGGGUUUAAAGGGAGCGUAGAUGGGUUGUUAAGUCAGUUGUGAAAGUUUGCGGCUCAACCGUAAAAUUGCAAUUGAUACUGGCAUCCUUGAGUACAGGUGAGGUAGGCGGAAUUCGUUGUGUAGCGGUGAAAUGCUUAGAUAUCACGAAGAACUCCGAUUGCGAAGGCAGCUUACUAAACUGCCACUGACAUUGAUGCUCGAAAGUGUGGGUAUCAAACAGGAUUAGAUACCCCAGUAGUC